This 818-nucleotide ribosomal RNA is filed under the name uncultured eukaryote. RNAcentral's name for it is "SSU rRNA". It matches the Rfam family "Eukaryotic small subunit ribosomal RNA", at positions 629 to 1426 of the family's 1831-position model. The record is from RNAcentral.
CGGUGUUUAACUGGCGUGAUGUGGGACGUCCUACCGGUGGGCUUAGCCUCGCGAGGGGCGGCCCAACUAAUAUCCCGUCGCGGUGCUCUUUACCGAGUGUCGAGUCGGGCCGGUACGUUUACUUUGAACAAAUUAGAGUGCUUAAAGCAGGCUAUCCUCGCCUGAAUACUGCGUGCAUGGAAUAAUGGAAUAGGACCUCGGUUCUAUUUUGUUGGUUUUCGGAACCCCGAGGUAAUGAUUAAUAGGGACAGAUGGGGGCAUUCGUAUUGCGACGUUAGAGGUGAAAUUCUUGGAUCGUCGCAAGACGGACAGAAGCGAAAGCAUUUGCCAAAAAUGUUUUCAUUAAUCAAGAACGAAAGUUAGAGGUUCGAAGGCGAUCAGAUACCGCCCUAGUUCUAACCAUAAACGAUGCCAGCUAGCGAUCCGCCGAAGUUCCUCCGAUGACUCGGCGGGCAGCUUCCGGGAAACCAAAGCUUUUGGGUUCCGGGGGAAGUAUGGUUGCAAAGCUGAAACUUAAAGGAAUUGACGGAAGGGCACCACCAGGAGUGGAGCCUGCGGCUUAAUUUGACUCAACACGGGAAACCUCACCAGGCCCAGACACCGGAAGGAUUGACAGAUUGAUAGCUCUUUCUUGAUUCGGUGGGUGGUGGUGCAUGGCCGUUUUUAGUUGGUGGAGAGAUUUGUCUGGUUAAUUCUGAUAACGAACGAGACUCUAGCCUGCUAAAUAGGCGUACCUUAUGGUAUCGCGAAGGCCCCCGGCUUCGGCCGGUGGGUUUUUACUACCAACGUACAAACAAAUCUUCUAGAGGGACAGGCGG